RNAcentral lists this ribosomal RNA (2890 nucleotides) under Pseudomonas qingdaonensis. RNAcentral's name for it is "23S ribosomal RNA". It matches the Rfam family "Bacterial large subunit ribosomal RNA". The record is from RNAcentral. Lineage: Bacteria; Pseudomonadati; Pseudomonadota; Gammaproteobacteria; Pseudomonadales; Pseudomonadaceae. RNAcentral also lists the same sequence under 4 other names.
GGUCAAGUGAAGAAGCGCAUACGGUGGAUGCCUUGGCAGUCAGAGGCGAUGAAAGACGUGGUAGCCUGCGAUAAGCUUCGGGGAGUCGGCAAACAGACUUUGAUCCGGAGAUCUCUGAAUGGGGGAACCCACCUGGCAUAAGUCAGGUAUCUUGUACUGAAUACAUAGGUGCAAGAGGCGAACCAGGGGAACUGAAACAUCUAAGUACCCUGAGGAAAAGAAAUCAACCGAGAUUCCCUUAGUAGUGGCGAGCGAACGGGGACUAGCCCUUAAGUGGCUUUGAGAUUAGCGGAACGCUCUGGAAAGUGCGGCCAUAGUGGGUGAUAGCCCUGUACGCGAAAAUCUCUUAGUCAUGAAAUCGAGUAGGACGGAGCACGAGAAACUUUGUCUGAAUAUGGGGGGACCAUCCUCCAAGGCUAAAUACUACUGACUGACCGAUAGUGAACCAGUACCGUGAGGGAAAGGCGAAAAGAACCCCGGAGAGGGGAGUGAAAUAGAUCCUGAAACCGUAUGCGUACAAGCAGUGGGAGCCUACUUGUUAGGUGACUGCGUACCUUUUGUAUAAUGGGUCAGCGACUUAUAUUCAGUGGCGAGCUUAACCGAAUAGGGGAGGCGUAGCGAAAGCGAGUCUUAAUAGGGCGUUUAGUCGCUGGGUAUAGACCCGAAACCGGGCGAUCUAUCCAUGGGCAGGUUGAAGGUUAGGUAACACUGACUGGAGGACCGAACCGACUACCGUUGAAAAGUUAGCGGAUGACCUGUGGAUCGGAGUGAAAGGCUAAUCAAGCUCGGAGAUAGCUGGUUCUCCUCGAAAGCUAUUUAGGUAGCGCCUCAUGUAUCACUGUAGGGGGUAGAGCACUGUUUCGGCUAGGGGGUCAUCCCGACUUACCAAACCGAUGCAAACUCCGAAUACCUACAAGUGCCGAGCAUGGGAGACACACGGCGGGUGCUAACGUCCGUCGUGAAAAGGGAAACAACCCAGACCGUCAGCUAAGGUCCCAAAGUUAUGGUUAAGUGGGAAACGAUGUGGGAAGGCUUAGACAGCUAGGAGGUUGGCUUAGAAGCAGCCACCCUUUAAAGAAAGCGUAAUAGCUCACUAGUCGAGUCGGCCUGCGCGGAAGAUGUAACGGGGCUCAAACCAUACACCGAAGCUACGGGUAUCACUUAGGUGAUGCGGUAGAGGAGCGUUCUGUAAGCCUGUGAAGGUGAGUUGAGAAGCUUGCUGGAGGUAUCAGAAGUGCGAAUGCUGACAUGAGUAACGACAAUGGGAGUGAAAAACUCCCACGCCGAAAGACCAAGGUUUCCUGCGCAACGUUAAUCGACGCAGGGUUAGUCGGUCCCUAAGGCGAGGCUGAAAAGCGUAGUCGAUGGAAAACAGGUUAAUAUUCCUGUACUUCUGGUUAUUGCGAUGGAGGGACGGAGAAGGCUAGGCCAGCUUGGCGUUGGUUGUCCAAGUUUAAGGUGGUAGGCUGAGAUCUUAGGUAAAUCCGGGAUCUUAAGGCCGAGAGCUGAUGACGAGUUGCCAUUAGGCGACGAAGUGGUUGAUGCCAUGCUUCCAAGAAAAGCUUCUAAGCUUCAGGUAACCAGGAACCGUACCCCAAACCGACACAGGUGGUUGGGUAGAGAAUACCAAGGCGCUUGAGAGAACUCGGGUGAAGGAACUAGGCAAAAUGGCACCGUAACUUCGGGAGAAGGUGCGCCGGUGAGGGUGAAGGACUUGCUCCGUAAGCUCAUGCCGGUCGAAGAUACCAGGCCGCUGCGACUGUUUAUUAAAAACACAGCACUCUGCAAACACGAAAGUGGACGUAUAGGGUGUGACGCCUGCCCGGUGCCGGAAGGUUAAUUGAUGGGGUUAGCUAACGCGAAGCUCUUGAUCGAAGCCCCGGUAAACGGCGGCCGUAACUAUAACGGUCCUAAGGUAGCGAAAUUCCUUGUCGGGUAAGUUCCGACCUGCACGAAUGGCGUAACGAUGGCGGCGCUGUCUCCACCCGAGACUCAGUGAAAUUGAAAUCGCUGUGAAGAUGCAGUGUAUCCGCGGCUAGACGGAAAGACCCCGUGAACCUUUACUAUAGCUUUGCACUGGACUUUGAAUUUGCUUGUGUAGGAUAGGUGGGAGGCUUUGAAGCGUGGACGCCAGUCUGCGUGGAGCCAUCCUUGAAAUACCACCCUGGCAACUUUGAGGUUCUAACUCAGGUCCGUUAUCCGGAUCGAGGACAGUGUAUGGUGGGUAGUUUGACUGGGGCGGUCUCCUCCUAAAGAGUAACGGAGGAGUACGAAGGUGCGCUCAGACCGGUCGGAAAUCGGUCGUAGAGUAUAAAGGCAAAAGCGCGCUUGACUGCGAGACAGACACGUCGAGCAGGUACGAAAGUAGGUCUUAGUGAUCCGGUGGUUCUGUAUGGAAGGGCCAUCGCUCAACGGAUAAAAGGUACUCCGGGGAUAACAGGCUGAUACCGCCCAAGAGUUCAUAUCGACGGCGGUGUUUGGCACCUCGAUGUCGGCUCAUCACAUCCUGGGGCUGAAGCCGGUCCCAAGGGUAUGGCUGUUCGCCAUUUAAAGUGGUACGCGAGCUGGGUUUAGAACGUCGUGAGACAGUUCGGUCCCUAUCUGCCGUGGACGUUUGAGAUUUGAGAGGGGCUGCUCCUAGUACGAGAGGACCGGAGUGGACGAACCUCUGGUGUUCCGGUUGUCACGCCAGUGGCAUUGCCGGGUAGCUAUGUUCGGAAGAGAUAACCGCUGAAAGCAUCUAAGCGGGAAACUUGCCUCAAGAUGAGAUCUCACUGGAGCCUUGAGCUCCCUGAAGGGCCGUCGAAGACUACGACGUUGAUAGGUUGGGUGUGUAAGCGCUGUGAGGCGUUGAGCUAACCAAUACUAAUUGCCCGUGAGGCUUGACCAU